Molecule: ribosomal RNA, 465 nt
Filed under: uncultured Klebsiella sp.
Lineage: Bacteria; Pseudomonadati; Pseudomonadota; Gammaproteobacteria; Enterobacterales; Enterobacteriaceae
Description: bacterial SSU rRNA
Rfam family: Bacterial small subunit ribosomal RNA
Source: RNAcentral
CCUACGGGUGGCUGCAGUGGGGAAUAUUGCACAAUGGGCGCAAGCCUGAUGCAGCCAUGCCGCGUGUGUGAAGAAGGCCUUCGGGCUGUAAAGCACUUUCAGCGGGGAGGAAGGCGUUAAGGUUAAUAACCUUGGCGAUUGACGUUACCCGCAGAAGAAGCACCGGCUAACUCCGUGCCAGCAGCCGCGGUAAUACGGAGGGUGCAAGCGUUAAUCGGAAUUACUGGGCGUAAAGCGCACGCAGGCGGUCUGUCAAGUCGGAUGUGAAAUCCCCGGGCUCAACCUGGGAACUGCAUUCGAAACUGGCAGGCUAGAGUCUUGUAGAGGGGGGUAGAAUUCCAGGUGUAGCGGUGAAAUGCGUAGAGAUCUGGAGGAAUACCGGUGGCGAAGGCGGCCCCCUGGACAAAGACUGCCGCUCAGGUGCGAAAGCGUGGGGAGCAAACAGGAUUAGAUACCCGUGUAGUC